Molecule: non-coding RNA, 3495 nt
Organism: Callithrix jacchus (white-tufted-ear marmoset)
Lineage: Eukaryota; Metazoa; Chordata; Mammalia; Primates; Cebidae
Source: RefSeq, a predicted model, not a curated record
GGUAGCAACUGGGGUUUAAAUCAUUAAGUUAUGUAAUACUCAAGUUAUGUAGGCUACAUAUGCAUUACAACUAAAAUCCAGCAUCUAAUGAGGAAGGCUGUGAUGAAUUUUCCUCCUGUUUGCUUUUUCCUAUUUCCUUUUCUCUGAAAUGCUUCUCACAAUGUUGGGCCUUCUAAGAGACAACACUUGCCUUCUGCUUUUCCUCGAGCUUCUGGACAAAAUAAACUGCCUUCCAUUGGAUGUCUUCCAGACCGUCCUAUAGGAUCUCACACCCACCUCUGUGAGCAAACCAAGAGGGAGGGGGGCCCCAUCAACAUUGACAGGAACACGAUUGUAGGGCUGUAAUUUUAUUUCAUCGACUUUCUUUUGCAGCUUGCCUGUCUCUCCCAUGUCUGCCACCCGCAGCAGGAGAUUAAAAGAACAGAGGAGCAUUCUUUCCCAGACUAUUACUCUUCAUUCACUUUAAAUGGAUAAACAAGGAGAGACAUCUGUUCCCUCCAGUUCUACCAGAGCCAGAUGGGCCUUGCUCUCUUGUUCAGAAACACAAAACAGUGAGUUCAUGUUGCCUUUAAUGGGUCCAUGACUUUCCAACCAACCCUGCAGUCUAGAGAGACGCUUCACAUAGCCAUCCAGUGAGCAGCCGUCAGCUAAUGACCAGAAGCAGUACUCCUGGAGAAGGACCCAGAACACUGCCUUGGGACCUGGCAGUGGAGGAGUCCCAGGUGGUCUUGACUUCCUCUCCCAUGAACUUUUAAGGAGCUUAUAAAGUCCUAAGCAAAAGAACAAUCCAGGCACUUUCAUGGAAGUGUCCCUGGACAAAGAAGACUCAACUCUUGGUCAGCUGGAGGCAUGAUAGUGUUCCUUAAUGUGAAAGAACAUAAAAGCAGCCUUGAAAUGUGGUCACCAAUAUGGAUGGAUCUGGAGGCCAUAAUCCUAAGCUAACCAGCAAACCAACAUAGGAACAGAACCAAAUACCACAUGUUCUCACUUGUAAGUGGGAGCUAAACAAGAGAAAAGCAACAGUGAACAGCUACGACCUAGAACUUGACGGAGGUUUGAUCCACAGAGGAACAGAGAAAAGCACUUGCUCACAUCCAUCCCGUGCUCCUAGGAAGCAGAUGAUGUGAUGGAUUACCAGGUCUUCUGGCAGCAUUUUCCGAUUUCACCAACAGUUUCUCCUAGGGAUUGUUUGGAAUAGGAACAUGGACCCAUAAACUUUUCCUUUUCCCACUCCUGAAGCCUUUUGGUAAACUACCUAAUUAUCUGCUGUUCUUGGCCCUUAAAGUUAUUUAAAAGUAAUACACAUUUGUGGAUUUAACAUUUUGAGAGAUAAUGGCUACUUGAAAAGUUCUAAAAAGAAACCAACAGAAAUUAUCAUAUAAAGCUUGAACAUGUAAGUUCCUAUUCCCUGCUUCUCGUAUUUCCUUUAGUAAAUGGCACUUUUUUCAUGGUGUGUCCAAGUUAGAAAAGUGGGUUAUCCUAGACUUCCCUUUUCUAAUGUUUUCCUUCUCCUUCAUUCUUCCUUCCCUCAUACCUUACCCAAUCGCUGUGCAGUGCCUUGCCCAAUUAUAUGCAUUUGAUAAAUAUUUGUUGAAUCACCGCCAGGAAUAGCCAAGAGUUACAAUGUACUCUAUGUACCAGGCAUGUGUGUUCACUCAUGUAAUAUUGACAACAACUUCAUCAUUCUCAUCUAACAGAUUCGGAAGCUGAGGAAUAAGAGAUUAAGUGAUUUGCUCAGUCACAUGGCUAGUAAAAAUGCUUUUUAAAACCAGGUAGUUUGGUUUCAAAGUUCAUCCACUCAAUCACUAUUCUUUACUGUCUCUAUCUUGAGACAUUUAGGUUUAAUCUUACCAUCAGAGUAAGGUAUAUUUAUUCCAAGCUAAAUAAAACAGUAUACUGCUUGUGCUCAGCAAUUAUUGUCCUUCAUUUGUCCUAUAGAUAUUGCUUGUUUUUAAUUUAUCUCACCUUCCCAAUUUAACAGUGUGUCUUGGAGCUCUACCGUGACCAGUGCAGCACCCCACAGUGGUAUAAAGCAACUCUCUCAUUCCUCUCUAGUUGCCUAAUGGCACCCCUGUUCCCUGCCUGCACAUGAGUCAGCAGAAUGGGGAGGAACGGGGGAGAAGAAUUGAAGGGUAAAUUGAGGCAACAUAGAAAGGGAACAGAAUAGAGUUGAUUAACCACUGGGAAGAUUCAGAAGUCUAUGAACAAGGUGUUACGUGAUUCAUGCUGUGUCUUAGGAAGGGAAAUUUGUCAACACUGCAUGGGACAGACUGAUGGGGACAUAUUGGGAUAUCACUUUGUCAGUUCUGCCCCUAGAGCUGCCCAGACAUCAUGAGGGCUUCACGCUGAGCAGUGUGGACAGGAAUGUUGAAACGGAGUCCAGAGAUAUUUUGGAGGUAGAAUUGGCCUCUGUGCCUGAUUAGAUGGAGAGGGUGAAGGAGAAAGGAGACAAAGGCAUCCUCAGAGGAUGUGGACAGAGAGGCUGCGAGAAUGGUAACAUUUAUAGUUAUAAAUGUGCACCGGUUAUGGUGGUAAACAAGAUAGAAAUAGGCCUGCCCUCCUGAAGGUUGUAGUCUGGUGGAGACACAGUAAAAAAGCAAGCUAGUAAUAUCUAUCAAGUUCUACAAAAGAAACCUAGACAUCGAGUAUGAGGUGGAGAGGAAGAAAGAAUGUCUCCUUAGAGGUAGAAAAAUAAGCAGUAGAGUCCUGUGUUAGAAGUCAAGACAGCAGUGAAUUUCAAUGAAAACGGAAUGUUCAAGAUCAGACAUUAGGAGGUCAUAUGACUUAGCAUUAGAUGGCUAUUAAUGGCCCGCAAGAGCAGAGUCUGUAGAGCAGUGGAGGUAGAAAUUGUGGGCAGCUAGUUGAAAAGGAAGUGAGGCAUGAAGAAGCUGUGAAAAUCAACCCAUACCAACUGUUUUGAAGGUCUGGAAGGUGAUAAAGUUGUCAGAUUCAAAAUGGAGUCACUCGUGUCAAACCCUGGCAAAAUGGAGCUGGGAAAGGCCUUGAAGAGAGGGCUCUCACACAUGAUUUGCCUGAUAACAGGAACCAGGACAAGACACUUUUCCAUACUGCAGCUUACUACAUGAGUCACCCAAGGACAGCUAGUGGCUUAUACCAGAACAAUUGCCUGACACACUGUCUCACAGGCCUAAUCCAAAACUACAAGAGCCUAACUAGUACUCCAAGACUCCAAGUCCUACCUAGCAAACACAGACCCUCACUGAUCAAAACUCACCAGCUCUUAGAAGGCACUGCCAGCACGAAUUGACUUUCCUUCAAAUCAACUUGUAUAACCUCCUCAUUCCCCCCAAAAAACCCUAACCAUUUUCCUUUGUUCUUCCAGACAUACUAGAGGCCACCCUGUUCUGUGUGUAUGUCCCAGAUUAUAAUCCCACUUCUUGCAUAUUAUUCUCAAAUAAAACCUUUUCAUUUGGGGAUUCAUCUCUGUCUAUUUUUUUAUGUUGGCAAAGAGAAGGAGAGAAAUAGGAGGUUAGC